AGAGUUUGAUCAUGGCUCAGGACGAACGCUGGCGGCGUGCUUAACACAUGCAAGUCGAACGGAAAGGCCCUGCUUUUGUGGGGUGCUCGAGUGGCGAACGGGUGAGUAACACGUGAGUAACCUGCCCUUGACUUUGGGAUAACUUCAGGAAACUGGGGCUAAUACCGGAUAGGAGCUCCUGCUGCAUGGUGGGGGUUGGAAAGUUUCGGCGGUUGGGGAUGGACUCGCGGCUUAUCAGCUUGUUGGUGGGGUAGUGGCUUACCAAGGCUUUGACGGGUAGCCGGCCUGAGAGGGUGACCGGCCACAUUGGGACUGAGAUACGGCCCAGACUCCUACGGGAGGCAGCAGUGGGGAAUAUUGCACAAUGGGCGGAAGCCUGAUGCAGCAACGCCGCGUGCGGGAUGACGGCCUUCGGGUUGUAAACCGCUUUCGCCUGUGACGAAGCGUGAGUGACGGUAAUGGGUAAAGAAGCACCGGCUAACUACGUGCCAGCAGCCGCGGUAAU
This 505-nucleotide ribosomal RNA is filed under the name uncultured bacterium. RNAcentral describes it as "bacterial SSU rRNA". It matches the Rfam family "Bacterial small subunit ribosomal RNA", at positions 8 to 524 of the family's 1533-position model. The record is from RNAcentral.